CCCUCCAGCCUCUGCGCACAGCGCGCAUGCGCGGCCGAGGGGCGGUGAGUGCGCGGAGGGCCGCGCCUGCGGGCGGUAGGGGAGGUGGGUGUGCGGCGGUGCCGCUGUGGGGAAUGUGCGCUGCUUUGCCCCCGUCUCCUCCCUGCGGCCGUGGUGUGCUGAGGUCCUGCUGACGGGCUGUGUCUCCCCGGGGCAGGGAGAGUUUUGGUUUUAGAAACGGGGCGCUAUCCUGAAACAGCAAUUUCUCCUUUGAUCUCCAGAGAAAUAUCACCUCACUUCUAAAGUUUUUCAAUCUUCUUAGUGACCCUAAUACAAAAUUGUCCUGGUGUUGUGGAUCGCAGCAGUUUAUUUUGAAGAAUGAGUUGAACAGAUAUAUAGGAAGCUACAUGAUGUAAAAAAACACUUCUUCCUAUUUUGAAUAGUUACAGGGAUGAACUGAAUAAAGGUAAUAGAAUAAAAGAACAAUACUUGUCAUCUUACACUUGGAAAUCAAAAACUAAAUGUCACCUCCACUGUAGUUCUUACCAGGAGAACUCUAUCUCAGUGUUUCAAUGUGUUCUGACCCAAACAGAGGCAGGCCCUCCUGCCUGAGUGCAAGGUCUGACCUUCAUCUCUGGUAAAGAAGUCAUUGUUUCCCUUCUCUGAUUAAGUAUUAUCAUGUGUUUAAAAUAAAAGAUUUGUAGAGUAAAAAUCAUAUUGCAAACUCUUUAGUAAGCAGUGACUUGCAUUGUGACUUGUUUUGGUUGCAUUACUCAUGCAGAUUGUUGCUAAAUUAGAAUAAGAAGCUCACAGUAAGGCUCAUGGUUUCAUAAGAAGGACUUAGCAGUGUUAGAAAUAAAAAUUGCUCAAAAUCCUUUAAAUCAAGCCAGACAGAGUAGUCUUGCUUUGUUUUUUUUGUUUUUUUUUUGUUUGUUUGUUUUUUCCUAAUGCCAAAAUAGUUUGCUUAAUGUUGUAGUUCCAAACCAACUUGUAGAACUGUCAAUAUUUUUUCUAGAUCUGAACUUUCAGAUCGUGACCUCUGACUCACCCAAUGACAAUGAGUGCAGUUUCAAACUGCUGCAGUCCCCAUCAGUUCAGCAUCUCUCUUGUCAGGGAAAAGUCUCACCUCCCACAGAUAUUAUUCCAAAUGAAGUGUCAGAUCCUGGAGGACAAGUUGAGGUCAGCUUAGUUUUCUUGCUACAACAGUUUGAGUUCAUGUAGCCCUUACUAUAAAUUGAAGUAUAAAAUUGCAACUCUAAAAUUACCACCGCCUCCCCUUUCAGAGCCUUAAGAUUGUGUAUGUUGCUUGAAGAAAAUUAUCAGAAGAGAUACUUCUAUGAAGACUUGUCAUUGUUUUAUGGUGAUAGGUGUUUUGUUGUUUUUUCUUUGUUUGUUUGGGAUUUUUUGGGGCAGUUUUUAACUCUGUACAACUCUGGUCCAUUUUAAUAGAUGCACUCAUUGAUGAGGAAUAUAUUCUAUUAGUAAUUAAACAUAACUGUGCUGUGAGCUGCAAUUUGCAUUUGUUAAGCCAAACCGAAUGUCUCUGGCCUCUUAAGAAUAAGCGGGGAAAAACUUCAUGUAUAUGAAGUAGGAGUGUGGAAUCAAAGUAACAAAAUAAAGUGAGUAGGGUCUGAGAGAGAACAAUUGGAUAAUUAGAGUUGGAGAUUGCUUUGAAAUUACACAUGUUAACAGAUGAAGAUGCAAAAUAACAUUGUUGCUUGGAGCAUUCCUAGCAGUUUGGUGGUAACUUCCUUUUAGGUAACAAUUUUCGCAAGUCAAGAAGUGUUUCAUGCCAGGCAGUAUUUCUUUGCUAACAAGGGGAGAUAAUAGAAGGGCUCAUGCCAGUGGCUGUCACUCGUACAGAACAGAAUUAUAGAAUCUCCAAGGAUGGAAAAGACCUCCAAGGUCAUCCAGUUUAACUGCUCACCUGUCACUAAUAUUUCCCAAUAAACCAUGUCCCUCGGUACAACAUCUAAGUGUUUCUUGAGCACCUCCUGGAUGGCAACUCCACCACU
Molecule: non-coding RNA, 1994 nt
Organism: Meleagris gallopavo (turkey)
Lineage: Eukaryota; Metazoa; Chordata; Aves; Galliformes; Phasianidae
Source: RefSeq, a predicted model, not a curated record